This 414-nucleotide ribosomal RNA is filed under the name Agrobacterium sp. Its description in RNAcentral is "bacterial SSU rRNA". It matches the Rfam family "Bacterial small subunit ribosomal RNA", at positions 17 to 479 of the family's 1533-position model. Lineage: Bacteria; Pseudomonadati; Pseudomonadota; Alphaproteobacteria; Hyphomicrobiales; Rhizobiaceae. The record is from RNAcentral.
UCAUGGCUCAGAACGAACGCUGGCGGCAGGCUUAACACAUGCAAGUCGAACGCCCCGCAAGGGGAGUGGCAGACGGGUGAGUAACGCGUGGGAACAUACCCUUUCCUGCGGAAUAGCUCCGGGAAACUGGAAUUAAUACCGCAUACGCCCUACGGGGGAAAGAUUUAUCGGGGAAGGAUUGGCCCGCGUUGGAUUAGCUAGUUGGUGGGGUAAAGGCCUACCAAGGCGACGAUCCAUAGCUGGUCUGAGAGGAUGAUCAGCCACAUUGGGACUGAGACACGGCCCAAACUCCUACGGGAGGCAGCAGUGGGGAAUAUUGGACAAUGGGCGCAAGCCUGAUCCAGCCAUGCCGCGUGAGUGAUGAAGGCCUUAGGGUUGUAAAGCUCUUUCACCGGAGAAGAUAAUGACGGUAUC